UUUUAACAAGAGACAUACUGAGAGGAAUCAAAAGACUUCAUAUUCAAUAACUGUUCAAGGAGUUGUUGAUACAAAUGGUGUUUUCACUGAUGUUUGCAUUGGUUGGCCUGGUUCAAUGCCUGAUGAUCAAGUGUUAGAAAAAUCAGCACUUUUUCAAAGGGCUAAUAAUGGAGGACUUCUUAAAGGUGUUUGGAUUGUUGGAAGUUCAGGGUAUCCUUUAAUGGAUUGGGUUUUAGUACCUUAUACUCAACAAAAUCUUACUUGGACACAACAUGGUUUCAAUGAGAAGAUUGGUGAGAUACAAAAAGUUGCUAAAGAUGCAUUUGCUAGAUUGAAAGGUAGGUGGUCUUGUUUGCAGAAAAGGACUGAAGUGAAGCUACAAGAUUUGCCUGUUGUACUUGGUGCUUGUUGUGUUUUGCAUAACAUUUGUGAGAUGAAAGGUGAGAAAAUGGAUCCUGAACUUAUGGUUGAUAUUGUUGAUGAUGAAAUGGUUCCUGAAGUUAGUUUGAGAUCAGUUAAUUCAUUGAAGGCUAGAGAUGCUAUUGCUCAUAAUCUUUUGCAUCAUGGUUUAGCAGGCACUUCUUUUCUUUAAACUCAUAAGAUUAAGAACUUUGUGUAAUUUGUUGUAUUUUGAUCAUUGUUUUAUGCAUCUCUGAGAACAUGAUUUUCUUUUUUGCUGUUUAUUUACAUAAUGUUGGAGUUAUAUUCAUAUUAUUUGUUGAAGUGGCUUUGUAUAAGAUAAGAUGUAUUAGCCUCUUUGACAAAUAUGUAUGAUAAAAUUUACAUAUGGUUAGAUUCAGAGUUACAUUUCCAUAGCCAAAUAAGAGAUCAAUUAAUAAAAUUGCAACAUUCUUUUGUUUCAUGGAUUAUUUUGUAUCAUUCCUAGUUUACAAUUUAUUAGAAGAUCAAUUGAUAUAGUUCAGUUACAUCAUUGUUUUAAACCAAAUUUAUUGUUAGAUAGGAUUCUGUUACAAGAUAGUGAAUUUGAAAUAUAGUAAAAUGCACUAUUUAUUAAAUCAAAAUAAAAUCAUCUCAUAAUUGAUUUCCUUUCCUAUGUAAUUAAAGUCAACUGUGUUCAAAUACCGACUAGGAUCUAGACAUGGUGAACAUGUGAAGUCUAAGAAAAUGGUUUUUUAGACUGUGAGAAAAUGAUAAAAUAACAGUUUUUGGUUAAAUCAAAUGAAUGGGUCAUAAUCAUUCUUUUUGACACUCUACUUCUGUUUAUUCAAUAUCUAGUAAUGGUUAUGCUUGUGUUUCAUAGUUGUACUCAAUCAAACAUUGUAAAGACUGAAAAUUUUAAAUCAAAAGUUUACUCGAUUAAAGUCUUUCGCAUCAUAAAUAAAUCGAAGUAUAAAGUCUUGAAAAUGAACGAGAAUUGAAAUACAAUUCAGCAUCCUUUUACAAAAAAGGAAAAGUUAAACAUACAAAUGAGGAACCCUAAUUCUAGACACUAUGAUCCGUCUUCGAGUGACUUCAAAACAUCCUAUACCUGAAAAGGAAUCACAUAGUGUGAUGAGAUACUACGAUCUCAAUAAGUUUCCAAAUACGGGAUUAAACAAAAUAUGCCACAAAUGCAUUUAUGAAAUAUAUUAUAAAAUGCAAUACUUUCACUUCAUUAUGAAACUACCCCUGAUGUGCAUCAGAACUUUAAUUCUUAUCAAAUCAUUCGAAAACUUUAACUAACUAACGUGAGCACACUUAUCUGUGUCUGCAAAAUCACUUGGACAUGGGUUAACCAAUGUGACAUGUACUGCCGAUGUAUGACGCCCCACUACCUGCCUACACUGUAACUGCCGCGCUUCAUCUUUUUCUCCAUUGUGAUGUGUCUAGUGCGGUUUGGUUGAAGUUAAUGUGGUGGUUAGAUUGCUUGUUCAUUUUGCCUCCAAACCUUUUUGUUCAUUGGGAGUGUUGGCAUGAAGGGGAGAGCGACAAGAAGGUCAAAAAGGGUAAGGGGAUAAUUUGGCUUGCUACCAUUUGGGUGUUAUGGAAUACCCGAAAUGAGAAAGUUUUUAACGAUGUUAAUGUAGAGGUGGAUGCAAUUGUUGAAGAGGUGAAAGUGUUGGCUUGGAAGUGGGUGAUGAGUAAGUUGUGUAUUCCGGUUUGUCAAUUUUUUGAGUAGUGUUGGAACCCUAAAUGGUGUCUUAGAAGGUCCCAUACUUGUAUGUGAUUGUUGGUUGCGGAGCUGCUGAUUUUGCUUUCGGUCUGGAGCUUGGUUUUCAGCUGGGUUUUUUGGGUUGUGUAGCAGGUUUUGGUGUUUGUAUCAGCAGAAGUGCAGCAGUUUUUUUCUGCUAUUGCUUGCGUUGCUGAGAUAGGUGCUGCUUCCAUAUGUUGGAGUGUUUCUGUUUUGAUUGGUGGCUGGGCAGUUUCGGGCUUUUUGGUGCUUCUCUGUCUUCUGGUGGUGAGGUAGGGGUAUGCGUGCGGUGUUUUUCGCACGUAUAUGUCGGCCUCAAUUCUGGUUUGAGGGUUGUAUGGGUGUUCCGUAUAUUUGCAUGUCAUGUUUGAUCAAGAAAGUGGAAAAAGAUGUUUUUUCCCUUUCUCUUAUUUGUGUUUGUUGAUCGUAUUAUUUAGUUUUUGAGAUAUAAGAAGGAAUAAAAUGUUGACCAUCGUCAGUGACAAGAUCUAAAUUUUUUGAAUGGUGGGACACCAUAUAUAAAAAUUUGUAACACUAAAUUAUCCUCUAAGAUUUUUCAUAUUAUGAAAACUUUGAAUGAUAUGGUCCCCGACUAUCGUAAUACACGUAUUAUAUGGUGGUGAGUUUACUUUAGAACCAAAAGUUGUAACUCUUUAUAGGAACCAUUCAUAUACAUUAGAACAUUAUUAUUUACUAAUAGAUAAUGAACCAUAGCAUUGAUUCAAGUGUAUCUGAUCACAACCUUUGGUAAAUUGAUGCUUAAUGAACCAUAAUAUUGAUUCAAGUAAAAAAUCUUAUGUAUAUGAUCAUAACCUUUGGCAAAAGGGUGUUUUCUCUCAUGUGAAGAGUCACAUAAUGCACUAUAAAUACUUGACAUUUGGGCCUGAGUUUAAAAUCGAAUUUUCUAGUAUUUAUGAAACUUGGGACUUUUGCAGACCCAGAAUCACUUUCAUACGUUUAUACCUUACGUCAAAAUUCAUUUGACCAGAUGAACAAUCCAAACAACACUGCUACUUCAACAAAUAACAGAAAAAGACAUAGAAAAAAUGAUGUUAACAGUGGUAUAUCUAAUGGUGGUGGUUCACAGAGAAGGCUAUGGGUGAAGGAUCGUUCCGGGGCAUGGUGGGAUGAAUGUAAUAAAGAAGAUUUUCCUGAAGAUGAGUUUAAGAAAGCUUUUAGAAUGGGAAAAUCAACUUUUGAUUUUAUUUGUGAAAAAUUGAAUUCAGCAAUUGUGAAAGAAGAUACAACUUUGAGAACUGCAAUUCCAGUGAGACAAAGAGUAGCUGUUUGUCUAUGGAGAUUAGCAACAGGUGAUCCUCUUAGCAUUGUUUCAAAAAGGUUUGGUUUAGGUAUAUCAACUUGUCAUAAACUUGUUCUUGAAGUUUGCACUGCUAUUAAAACUGUUCUUAUGCCUAAGUAUCUUCAAUGGCCUAAUGAAACUUCUUUGAGAAAAAUUAAGAAUGAGUUUGAGGGUAUGUCAGGUAUUCCAAAUGUUGUAGGGUCCAUGUAUACAUCACAUGUUCCAAUCAUAGCUCCUAAGAUUAGUGUUGCUGAUUAUUUUAACAGAAGACAUACUGAGAGGAAUCAAAAGACUUCAUAUUCAAUAACUGUUCAAGGUGUUGUUGAUACAAAUGGUGUUUUCACUGAUGUUUGUAUUGGUUGGCCUGGUUCAAUGCCUGAUGAUCAAGUGUUAGAAAAAUCAGCACUUUUUCAAAGGGCUAAUAAUGGAGGACUUCUCAGAGGUGUUUGGAUUGUUGGUAGUUCAGGGUAUCCUUUAAUGGAUUGGGUUUUAGUACCUUAUACUCAACAAAAUCUUACUUGGACACAACAUGGUUUCAAUGAAAAGAUUGGUGAGAUACAAAAAGUUGCUAAAGAUGCAUUUGCUAGAUUGAAAGGUAGGUGGUCUUGUUUGCAGAAAAGGACUGAAGUGAAGCUUCAAGAUUUGCCUGUUGAACUUUGUGCUUGUUGUGUUUUGCAUAACAUUUGUGAGAUGAAAGGUGAGAAAAUGGAUCCUGAACUUAUGGUUGAUAUUGUUGAUGAUGAAAUGGUUCCUGAAGUUAGUUUGAGAUCAGUUAAUUCAUUGAAGGCUAGAGAUGCUAUUGCUCAUAAUCUUUUGCAUCAUGGUUUAGCAGGCACUUCUUUUCUUUAAACUUAUAAGAUUAAGAACUUUGUGUUAUUUGUUGUAUUUUGAUCAUUGUUAUAUGCAUCUCUGAGAACAUGAUUUUAUUUUUUGCUGUUUGUUUAUUUAUUUACAUAAUGUUGAUGUGGCUUUGUAUAAGAUAAGAUGUAUGGUUAGAUUCAGAGUUGUAACUCAAUUAUAUACACUUUCAUAGCCAAAUAAGAGAUCAAUUAAUAAAAAUUGCAACAUUCUUUUCUUUCAUGUAUUAUUUUGUAUCAUUCAUAGUUUACAAUUUAUCUGAAGAUCAGUUGAUAUAGUUAAGUUACAUCAGUAUUUUAAAAGCACACUUCUUAAUAAUACUUCUUAUCAAGAUAUUUGAUAGUCCAUGCCAAUAAUAAAAUCUAACUUCUGCAAAUGUAUACAUACAAGAUCGUCCUUGAAAUUGAAUAAUUACCACUUAAGUUAGCAAUUGCAAACGCUUCGGCAUCACUCGGGGGGGGGGGGAAGAAUCUUCCACUAUACUGGUCGAAGUACUUUAGGAAUCCUUAGGAGCAAAAUUUCUUGGGUUGGAGACAUGUUGUGCUAUGUCCCUUCUCAGUCGUCACUUGCAUCAUUCCCUCUACCACAUAUGUUACCAGUUACCUGACUCAUAUUUGCACUGUUUCUGCUAUUUACUCCACAACCAUUAAGGUUUCCUCUACCACAAGCAAAACUUGGUUCUUAUUUACCAAAAUCGGAAAAAUCCUAAUUUUAUUUGUUUAUUAAUUCUUUGCUUCGAUCUCAUCUCAAACUUGGUAGUUGGACACUCAUGUCACUUUGCUCCGGCUUCACAAACUCUAGUUCCUUCGGAUUACGAAUGUCUUUUAGGAAAUCAUGUGAUUUCAAUCCUCCUUUUUCCCUCUCUUCAAAAAAUCCUCCUUUUUCCCUCCAAGAGAAAUAAAAUCUCUUAUCUAAAAUUUAAUCAAAACUAAGUAAAACACACCAAAAAUUAUUCAAAUCACAGAUCAAAAUUAGAGACUCCUAAUAUGUGAAGCCCGGAUACAAGAUAUGAUACUGCACCGAUACGUCGAUACGAAAAAAUUUCAAAAAUUAAGAUACGAUACAGCUGAGAGACGUUUAUAUAAUUAAAUGUACAAUAUAAUUAUAACAAUUAAUUUGGUACUUAACCAAUACAUGGGGGCAUUGGUUAAUGUAACGUCCACUUUUGUUUAAUUAAUUAUUCAAUCGAGUUUAGACAAUUAUAUUAUAUUUAUAUAAUAUAUGUGUGAGUUUUGUUGAUUUAUGACGAUUUAGAUGAUUGGACGAUUUUGAUGUGUUUAGAUGAUUUUGUUGAGAUAUGAGACUUAUUUUAUUGUUAAAUAAAAUAAGAUUUGAAAAUAAAAAAAAAAUAUUUAGUUGAGGGCUGUUUUGAGAUUUUAGAGAGUUUUGGGGGAGAAAGUGAGAUAAGAUAAGAUAUUAGGAGGAGAUAUAAAAAGGAAAGACCUAGGUUUAGAAAAUGUUUUGUACGUACGACUGUUUUUGGAGAAAAUGAGAAAAAACCAAGAGAAGAGCAAGAGAGGCUAGGAAGGCUGCGAUUUCUUCACAUUAAGGUAAGGGUGAGACUAAUGAUUCAGUAAUGUUAAUUCGUAUAAUUCUGAUGAUUAAUUAGCAAGAAUUAGGAUUGAAUUGGAGGAACCAAAAACUAGAUCAAAUCCCUAAAAUUGAUUAGAUUGAUGUAGAAACUGUCCCUUGACCUUAGAAUAUGUUUAGAAUGAAUUGUGGAACUGAAAUUAGACUCAGAACCAUGAGAUUAGAUGAAUUUUUUGAAGAAAACUGCAUUCUGCCCGAGCCAACAUUCAUCGCUCGCCACGCGAGCCAAUACCCCUCGCCUCGCGAGUUACAAGUCGUAGCUCGCUACAGCGAGCAACCCUACUCGCCAUAGCGAGCAUGACCAGAGAGCAUGUUGAAUUUCGUGUUUUGGACUUUUGAGUUGAUCCUUAGAUGCUUUUGAGUACCUUUAGUUGUGUAUUAAAGAUUAGAGGAUGAUUUAGAACAAGAUUGAACCUGGAACAACCUUAGUUGGAAAUCUGGCAAGUACUCGCCUCGCGAGCACUUCCAGAACCGAGUGCUUUUGACAAUGUUAUGACCUGAUUUGUUUGGAUUGGCUAGGAAUGGAACUUUAGGUAGUAAUGAAACCUAUUUAAGAUGUUAGCCGGAAUCUGUGAAGUUGUUAAGAACUAUUAAGUUGUUUGUAAUGUGAUUUAACGAUUAAAUGCAUUACUUGAAUUAUUCUUGAAUAAACUAGAUGUUGUUGAAAUGAAUUGUUGUUAUGAAAUUUUGAUGUUGUUGUGAUCUGAUUAUGCUGCUGCUGUUAUUUAACUAAGUUGCAUGAGUCUAUACAUGAUUGAAUAAGAUGUUGUUGAGCUCCAAAUUAUUGGAUGUAUAUUGAGAUGUUGAUUAAGAUUGUUUUAGAUUGAUUGAGUCCAUGCAUUAGCAUACUUUUGUUGGGGGCUCAUGCCCUGGAGCUUUCUCCUCACCACGAAUUGAGCUUUGUCCUCACCACGAUGCCUUAAAAUUAUAUUAAUACUAUGAUGUUGGGGGCUCAUGCCCUGGUUGGUACCACAUGCAUAAAGAGGUUUAGAUUUGCAUUGUCGCAUUUGUCGAGUCAAAAGAUGUUAUGUUAUUGAUGAUGAUUGAAUGAUGUGAUUACUUGAUAAUUGUUUAUCAAAGAUGCACUGAUGCUUAAGAUUGUUUAUGUUGUUAAUAAUGAUUUUGAAUUAUAUUGAUUAAUAUUAUUGUUUUGUGAAAUCUCACUGUAACGCUCUAAUCUUUAUUUUAUUAUUUUUGAUUAUGUGGAGUCUUAUAUUUGAUUUUUGGUGAUUUAUGUGGUGUGUUUAUUUUAUUAUAUAGUUUAUUUAAAUAAUAAAUAGAAUAAGUGAGAAUUAGUAUUUUUUUGGAAUGUGGGGAGUUAAGUAAUAUUUAAUAGAAUUAAGGGGAGUAAUUAAAAUAAAGGGAAGUUAAGAAAGGAGUUAAGAAAGAAAGAAAGAGUCAGAAUACGUUUUCACGUGUAACUGUCAGUUUUGGGAAAAAAGGAGAUAAGAGCAAGGAGAGCCAAAGUUGUCAUUUUCUGUGCUGAUCUUUCUGCAAAACUAAGGUAAGGGUGAGGUUUACCGCAAUUAUAUAGGUUCUGAAUUCUGAUUUUGUUUUUAACAGGUUUAUGUGAGAAUUGGGAGAAGUUAGGUUUUGUAAAAUUAAUGGGUAUUGAGAGUAGGGAUUGUGUUUUUGAUGUUAGAAAUGGGUUAUGAGUGCAUAUAACCUUUCAUUGCAUAUCUGUAAACUGAUUUGGGGAGUGAAUUGGAGGAAAAUGAGAUUUUUGGGAAAAAAACCUGCAUUCUGCCCGUACAGAAGUUCAUCGCUCGCCUCGCGAGUAGCCUUUGCUCGCCAUAGCGAGUGAGCAACUUCAUGGCUCGCCUCGCGAGUUAGACAACUCGCCAUGGCGAGUACCUGUGAGGAAAACUGGAUUUUUGAAGUGUCGUUAUAAGUCGUAUUUUGGGUAGUUUUAUGUACCUAGAUGAUUUUAGAGAGGACUGGUGCAAUUUUUAGAUCAAAAAGAUGAAUAGGGAACUUGGAAAUGAGGAUUUAGUGAGAAAAAUGUCAAAACUCCCGAGAGCAGCCUUUUUCUGUUCGCCUCGAACUCGCCAUGGCGAGUGCCCUUUUUCCUGAACUCGCCAUAGCGAGCAGAUGUGCUCGCGAGGCGAGUUGCCCAAUAUUUGUUGGAUUGAUUUCUGUUGUUGAUGGUUGAUUUAUCUUGUUGAUUAAGCAUGGCUUUUAUGUUGGUGUAUUUUUCUGGAUGUUUUAAAUUGGUUGUAAUGAAUGGAUGUUGGCUGGAUGUAUGCUUUUAUUUAAUUAAGUUAUACAUGAAUAUUGUAAAUUGGAGUGGUGAGUCAUAUACAUAUAUAUGCAUAGGUUGGAUUGUAUGUAGAUAUACUCAAGUGGGUCAGUUGCAUAAGCAUAACAGUGGGAGAGCUUCGGCUCUGGAACGCCUUGUCGUUCAAAGUGGUGGAGCACUAAUUGCUCAAAGUGGUGUUAGUGGUGAGGACUUAUGUCCUGAAAAUGAAUGCUUUAACCAUUCUACAGCGGUGAGGGCUACGGUCCUGAUUUUGGUACCACAUGCAUGGGUGUUGUUAGAGGAGUCUUAGUGGAGCGGUGAUGAGUUGCAUGAGUCGUUGAGUGGGUUAUUAAUUACCAUUGUUGAUGAUAUUUGAAAAUGAUGAUAAUUAUAUAUUGUUGAUGAAUUCUAUGUUAGGGUGUUAGAUUCAAUUGAUGCAUUCUUUAUCUAUAUUAUUGUUGUGAAUCUCACCCAUUCUGCUUGAAAAUUUUGCCCUUUCUAUGGGUAACUUGCAGGUGAUCCUGAGUAGUUGGUGGUGGCUCAAAGUGUCUAGGGCUCUGAUACGUGGGAUGAGAUUUUAUUUGUUUAAUUUCUUUCCUAUGUAUCAAAUUUUGAAUAUUGUUGUUGUAGCCCUAUUGAUGAUUGGUUUUGCUUGUUGAGGCUUCUAUGCCAUGAAUAUGUAUUGGAGAUGGUUGUUAAUUAAAGUUGAAUUAUUCUACUGCAAGUUUAAUGAUGAAUUUUGAUGGAUGUUUAAUUAAAUAGAUUUUAUAUAUUCUAUUUAAGAAAUUUGAAAUUGUAGUGUGACAUGCCCGUUUGGGUUUUACUCUGAUGUUGAAAAAUUAUUAUUUAAUUGAUUUUGGGAAACUGGGUGUUACACUCACCCCUUCUGCUUGGAAAUGUUGCUCUUCGUAUGAGUAACUUGCAGGUGAUCGAGCUUAGUGUGCAGAUUGCUGUCGUGAGUGGCCUUGCCUCACUCUGUCGUCUAGGUCGCUCUGAUACGUAACGGGAUGGGGUUUAUGUUAUCCAUGCUUCAUUGCCUUACAUGAUUAUUUAUGAUGUUGAUUAACUUAAUUGAGAUAUUUUGAUGGGGCCUACGUGCCAAAAUGAUUUAUUGAUUUUGAAUUUAUUUCCGCUGCUAUUUGGUUGAUGAAGGAUAAAUUGUUAUUUAUCUAUGUUUUGAAGAUUUUAAGAAUGUGAUAUCCCGUUAUUUGAUGAUUACUCUGAUUAUAUGUUUGAAAUUUUUAUAUUGGGAAAACGAGGUGUUACAGUUAACAUUCUCCUUUUUUUAAUAUGCAAAUAUAUUAACAAACAAAAUAAACUAGUAGUCAUAGGCUCGUUAGCACAUCAACAUAAAUAUAAAUAAUAUUGACGAUUAAGAGAGUGAUGAUUAGUCAAUUACAUACACAAUAUAUCCCAAAAAGAGGACCACCAGUGCUAUACUAUAUCCGUUAGUGCUAUACUUUAUCGAUCCAAAAAAGAAGCAUUAUAUCUAAAAAAGAACACAUCGGUACUCAAGAGUUAAGUUAUUUUAGUCAAUGAAAAAUAUUGGGGCAAGUAUUGGUGCAAGAUAAUUAUUGGAUACUCUCCUGAUACGUAUCGAGAAGUAUCGAAUAAUUAUAUUUUAAAAAAUAAAAAUUUAAUAUUCGAAUACUCUCCUGAUACGUAUCGAAAAGUAUCGGGCAUGUAUUGGUGUAGGAUAUGCAGAGGAUACGAUACGUCAUCCAUUUUGAAGUAUCGGGGUUUCACAACUCUUAAUCAAUAAUUUGAUCUAAAAUUGAUAAUUUUACAUUUUAAUUUAGAAAUUUAAGUGCUACAAUAUUAAUUAAAGAAGUUAAAAAAAUAAAAUUAAUACAUUGAAUUUAAAUUUAAAAUCAAUUUUAAAAUCAUACAAAAUUGAUUAUUCCUGAUUUUCAUGUAUUAAAUAUAAUUUUUGGUGUCAUCCGUAUUGAUCAUCAAGAACGCCACCAACUAUAUAGCAAGUAACACAAUAUAUUCUCCGUCAUUUUUCAUGUAUUAAAUCUUACUCUUAAAAUCAUGAGUUUCAUGUGAGAAUGAGUAUUAAAUAUGACUCAUGUGUUCAACUUAUUCUUUUGUAUUUUUCUUGAUUUCUUUUUUUAUUUUUUGCACACAAUCGUAAAAUUUAAAGACAAUUAUAUGAACGUACAAGUACAAC
This 10291-nucleotide long non-coding RNA is filed under the name Medicago truncatula (barrel medic). Its description in RNAcentral is "long non-coding RNA (MTRU_LNC007701)". The stretch from base 8912 to 8998 matches the Rfam family "MIR2617 microRNA precursor family". Lineage: Eukaryota; Viridiplantae; Streptophyta; Magnoliopsida; Fabales; Fabaceae. The record is from RNAcentral.